CUCGAAAAUGAGAAAAGGGCUGGUUUUAGGGCGGCUCGGCUCGGCUCGAAAGAGGAUCAGUGUAUUCCUCCCGCUCAAAAUUUUUUCUCUCUCCUCACUUAAAUGGGCGGAUUCUCUCUCUCCUCUCCUCGUAAAAGAAAAAAAAACGCUCACAGCCUCUGUUUCCUUCUCCGCGCAUCCCACCUCCUCCGCCUCCGUCUCCGGCUCUCGCUCCGGCUUCGGACCUCUGCCUCGGCCUGCACCUGCCCAAAAGCGUCGCUGGCCAUCUGCCUCUGGCAUCUCGGUCUCGUUCCCGAGCGGCAUCAGGCUCCCCGCCGCUGACCGGGCGUUGUCCCUGACGCUGGCCCGCUCGGUCGCGAGGGAGAUCUCGGCGAACUUGGGCGGGGUCGACGGCGCGGCGAAGAAGGAGAGGCGCGGGCUGGAGAAGGAUUCCCGCCGGCCUCUGCCGCGAAGCCAUCGGCCUCCGGCAAGAGGGAGGCGGCCUCGGUCUCGUUCCCGAGCGGCACCAGGCUCCCUGCCGCUGACUGGCCGUUGUUCCUGACGCUGGCCCGCUCGGUCACGAGGGAGAUCUCGGCGGACCUGGGUGGGGUCGACGGCACGGAGAAGAAGGAGAGGCGCGGGCUGGAGAAGGAUUGCCGCUUGCUGUGGAGGAGGUACGUGAACCGACUGUACCAGCACCGGGAGCUAGGGCUUUUCCUGGACGUGAGCCGGAUCGGCUUCACGGACGAGUUCAUGGAGGAGAUGGAGCCCCAGUUCCAGGCCGUGUUCAAGGAGAUGGAGGAGCUGGAGAAGGGUGCGAUGGCGAACCCGGACGAGGGCCCAUGGUCGGGCACCACUGGUUGAGGAAGUCGGACCUCGCGCCAACUGGAUCCUGAAGGUGCAGAUUGAGAGCACGCUCGACGCCGUCUGUAAUUUCGCUGCCGACGUGGUCAGCGGUAAGGAUUGGGGAGUUCGUUGCCAUGGUUCUUGUUCUCUGGUCGCCUGUUGUUGUUCCUCUAUUUCCAACACUUGUGCAGAGCUGGAUGUCGCAUAGCUCCUCCGGAAUUGCUGAUUUUGCUUGCAUUUUUGGCCUUUACAUUGCUCUUACGAUACUUGUUAUGUUAUGGGGCAAGCGGAUCGGUGGGUAUGAAUAUCCCCUUAAGCAAUAUGGGCUGGAUUUGAUGUCAAUGCAGAAGAUUCAGUGAUGACCCUGCGUUAGAGAAGAAAGUACUACCACAAUAUGAUGAUCCGGCUCAAGAUGAGGAGUAACUCUUGACUCAAGUGGAUGUUUGACCUAUGAAGCUGAAAGGAAAUUGGAAGAGCUAAGAAGGAGGCUACAGGGUGCUUCUUCAAAUAGUCAUUGUAAAGAUCUCACCUCAUCUGCCAAGACCUCGUCCAAUUAAUACACUCAAUAAGAAUUGCUUCGAUUCAGAAAGCCCAAGAAAAAGAAAUCCUUACGGAAGAAAGAGAAGUUGGACUUAGAUGCCCUUGAAGUGGAAGCAGUUUCAGCACGGUUGGGUGUUGGAGAUCUUGGAUCACGUAAGGAUGGGAGGAGGCAGGCUAGCAGAGAGGAACAAGAGAAAAUUGAGGCUGGGAUGAGAAAGAAUGCCUACCAAUUGGCCUAUGCUAAAGCAGAGGAGGCAUCUAGGUUACUGCGGGUGGAGCAAACUCUUCCUGUUAAGACGGAGAAUGACGAAAACAUGGUCGUUGCUGAUGACGAUGAAGAUCUUUAUAAAUCUUUAGAGAGAGCCAGGAAAUUGGCUCUAAAGAAGCAAGAAGAGGAGGGGGCUUCUGGUCCUAAAGAGAUAGCUCUUCAUGCCAGUAGUAUUCCCAGUGCACACAAUGCAGAAAAUCAGAGUGUUGUGAUUGGAGAAUCACAGGAAAGCAGGGUUGUCAUGACAGAAAUAGAAGGUUUUGUUUCAGGCCUCGAGGUUGAUGAAGUUUCUCAUAAACCUGACACAGAAGAUGUCUUCAUGGAUGAAGACGAAGCAGAUAAUGAAGUAUAAGAUGAGCCUGGACGCUGGACAGAAUUUAAAGAAUUUGGUAAUGAUGAAGGUCCUGUUAAUGAGGGUGAGGAGGAAGUUGUUCUGGAUGAGACAAUUCAUGAAGCUGCAGUGGGGUUAGGGCUGUCGGGUGCCCUAAAGCUGCUCAAGGAAUGGGGAACACUUAAAGAAACUGUUGAGUGGGGUGGUAGAAACAUGGAUAAGUAGAAAAGCAAGCUCGUAGGCACUGUGCUCUGCUCAGUAUUUGGAGUUCUUGCAGUUUGUCAGAUGCCAAGAGGUAAGUGACGAGGGACUGCAGCAUGUUAUCCACUUUCCUUCUUUGCGGACCUUGCGAUUGGUAAAGUGCCUAGGAGUCACCGAUGAUGGCCUGAAGCCACUUGUGGGAUCACAAAAGUUAGAGUUGCUUGUGGUGGAAGAUUGUCCUCAGAUUUCAGAAAGGGGCCUUCAAGGUGCUGCAGAAUCUGUUUCUUUCAGGCAAGACUUGUCAUGGAUGUAUUGAAGCCAUAAGGGCACCCAUUCCAUCCUUGUGUCUAUUGGAUUUAGUAAAAAUAUGUUUUCUUGUAGUUGUUCAAUAGAUUUUUAUAUGAUUCAAAAAAUCGUGCUGUUUGUGGUUAGAGGAAAAACAAUUGUGCUGUCAUCAGUUGCUGGACUGGUGUUGUAUGUCCAUGCCAAGGCAUAUAUGCCUUGCCUUCUUUUUCGUUGCUUAAGCAAAGCCCCUGUUGAUGAUGU
This is a long non-coding RNA of Eucalyptus grandis, 2711 nucleotides long. RefSeq lists it as uncharacterized. NCBI's taxonomy places the organism in Eukaryota, Viridiplantae, Streptophyta, Magnoliopsida, Myrtales, Myrtaceae. The record is from RefSeq and is a predicted model, not a curated record. The transcript is spliced from 6 exons.